GAUGAACGCUGGCGGCGUGCUUAACACAUGCAAGUCGAACGAUGAAGCCCAGCUUGCUGGGUGGAUUAGUGGCGAACGGGUGAGUAACACGUGAGUAACCUGCCCUUGACUCUGGGAUAAGCGCUGGAAACGGCGUCUAAUACCGGAUACGAGCUUCCACCGCAUGGUGAGUUGCCGGAAAGAAUUUCGGUCAAGGAUGGACUCGCGGCCUAUCAGGUAGUUGGUGAGGUAACGGCUCGCCAAGCCGACGACGGGUAGCCGGCCUGAGAGGGUGACCGGCCACACUGGGACUGAGACACGGCCCAGACUCCUACGGGAGGCAGCAGUGGGGAAUAUUGCACAAUGGGCGCAAGCCUGAUGCAGCAACGCCGCGUGAGGGACGAAGGCCUUCGGGUCGUAAACCUCUUUUAGCAGGGAAGAAGCGAAAGUGACGGUACCUGCAGAAAAAGCACCGGCUAACUACGUG
RNAcentral lists this ribosomal RNA (466 nucleotides) under uncultured bacterium. RNAcentral's name for it is "partial 16S ribosomal RNA". It matches the Rfam family "Bacterial small subunit ribosomal RNA", at positions 28 to 507 of the family's 1533-position model. The record is from RNAcentral.